UACGUAUGUGGCAAGCGUUGUCCGGAAUUAUUGGGCGUAAAGAGCUCGUAGGCGGUCUGUCGCGUCGGCUGUGAAAUCCCGAGGCUCAACCUCGGGUCUGCAGUCGAUACGGGCAAACUAGAGUAUUGCAGGGGAGACUGGAAUUCCUGGUGUAGCGGUGAAAUGCGCAGAUAUCAGGAGGAACACCGGUGGCGAAGGCGGGUCUCUGGGCAAUAACUGACGCUGAGGAGCGAAAGCGUGGGGAGCGAACAGG
RNAcentral lists this ribosomal RNA (253 nucleotides) under uncultured bacterium. RNAcentral describes it as "partial 16S ribosomal RNA". It matches the Rfam family "Bacterial small subunit ribosomal RNA", at positions 524 to 776 of the family's 1533-position model. The record is from RNAcentral.